Molecule: ribosomal RNA, 253 nt
Filed under: uncultured bacterium
Lineage: Bacteria
Description: partial 16S ribosomal RNA
Rfam family: Bacterial small subunit ribosomal RNA
Source: RNAcentral
UACGUAGGUGGCAAGCGUUGUCCGGAUUUACUGGGCGUAAAGAGCGCGCAGGCGGUCGUUCAAGUCGCGUGUGAAAGCCCCCGGCUCAACUGGGGAGGGUCACGCGAUACUGAUCGACUCGAAGGCAGGAGAGGGUAGUGGAAUUCCCGGUGUAGUGGUGAAAUGCGUAGAUAUCUGGAGGAACACCGGUGGCGAAGGCGACAUCCUGGACCGGCAUUGACGCUGAGGCGCGAAAGCCAGGGGAGCAAACGGG